This is a non-coding RNA of Schizosaccharomyces pombe (fission yeast), 516 nucleotides long. Lineage: Eukaryota; Fungi; Ascomycota; Schizosaccharomycetes; Schizosaccharomycetales; Schizosaccharomycetaceae. The record is from the annotation of a GenBank genome assembly.
AUUAAAUCAGAUCCUUGACAUUGUAUCAGGCAAUCCUACUUUGCGAAAAUCGAUCAAAAUUAGAAGAAAGGAAUAUUCCUUAUAGCAUUGUAUAAGUGCAGAAGAAACUUUCGAAGCAAGUUUGUAGAAAAAUCUUAGAAUAGGAGAUUCUUUUCAAUUACAUUUCAAUUUGUUUGAUUAUAAUAACUUACGAGAAGGCGUAAAUUAAUUAUUUUUUUUAAGCUUGUUUGAUGGUUACCUAAUAGAAAAAAAGCUUAAUUGUAGCAAGAUUUCUUAUGUUCAGUUUUCAAUGAUUCGAAAACGGUAAAAUAAUGGAAUGUUUACAACCGAUGAGCGACUGUAAAAACUCAUCAAUACAAAUAAUAAAAGAGUUUUUGAUCAAAAUCCUUGCUUUACUUUGAUAACGUUUCGAUCAACACAAAAACCUAUUUCAUGAAUUCGGGCAUUGUUUGGAAUUUUUAAGCAGCAUGAAUUCUGAUAUAGUAGAGGUAAAGUUUAGUUUUGGGUUGUGUUUUA